AUGAGAUAUGAUGAUAUUUAUCCAUCAGUUCUGCAAUAUGAAUGAUGAUCCUUAAUCAUGCACUACCAUCUGAUCUCUU
RNAcentral lists this small nucleolar RNA (79 nucleotides) under Phaseolus vulgaris (common bean). Lineage: Eukaryota; Viridiplantae; Streptophyta; Magnoliopsida; Fabales; Fabaceae. The record is from RNAcentral.